This is a non-coding RNA of Triticum aestivum (bread wheat), 200 nucleotides long. The record is from Rfam. Lineage: Eukaryota; Viridiplantae; Streptophyta; Magnoliopsida; Poales; Poaceae.
AUACCUUUCUUGGCCUUUCGGCCAAGAUCAAGUAUAGUAUCUGUUUUUAUCAGUUUAAUAUCUGAUAUGUGAAUCUUUGGAUCCAUCCUAUGAUAUUAAUUUAAUUUUUUGUGGCGGAGGGCCCACCAUAGCAGCUAGCUGCUGGGGCCCUCAAGCGUCGCCAUGGUCUUGCACUAUAGCCUUGGACUGAAGCACCCCAA